Long non-coding RNA from Oncorhynchus keta (chum salmon), 505 nucleotides. RefSeq lists it as uncharacterized. The transcript is spliced from 3 exons. The record is from RefSeq and is a predicted model, not a curated record. Lineage: Eukaryota; Metazoa; Chordata; Actinopteri; Salmoniformes; Salmonidae.
GUGUUUUAGACUUGAACAGGUCAUAAGUAUGUGUGUGUUUUAGACUUGAACAGGUCAUAAGUAUGUGUGUGUUUUAGACUUGAACAGGUCAUAAGUAUGUAUGUGUGUGUUUUAGACUUGAACAGGUCAUAAGUAUGUGUGUGUUUUAGACUUGAACAGGUCAUAAGUAUGUGUGUGUUUUACACUUGAACAGGUCAUAAGUAUGUGUGUGUUUUACACUUGAACAGGUCAUAAGUAUGUAUGUGUGUGUUUUACACUUGAACAGGUCAUAAGUAUGUGUGUGUGUGUUUUACACUUGAACAGGUCAUAAGUAUGUAUGUGUGUGUUUUAGACUUGAACAGGUCAUAAGUAUGUAUGUGUGUGUUUUAGACUUGAACAGGUCAUAAGUAUGUGUGUGUUUUAGACUUGAACAGGUCAUAAGUAUGUAUGUGUGUGUUUUAGACUUGAACAGGUCAUAAGUAUGUAUGUGUGUGUUUUAGACUUGAACAGGUCAUAAGUAUGUAUG